This is a long non-coding RNA of Oncorhynchus keta (chum salmon), 2531 nucleotides long. RefSeq lists it as uncharacterized. The record is from RefSeq and is a predicted model, not a curated record. NCBI's taxonomy places the organism in Eukaryota, Metazoa, Chordata, Actinopteri, Salmoniformes, Salmonidae. The transcript is spliced from 9 exons.
ACAAUCAACCCAAGACAAAGAGAUUCAUCCAUUCAACUGGUUCAAAAAAGCCUGGUCCCAGAUCUCGUUGCGCUAUCAUGUCCACUCCUUGUCACUUGGCAUGGCUUGACAUGAUAACACAAGCAGAUCUGGGACCAGGCUAGCACAACAGCACAAGCAGAUCUGGGACCAGGCUAGCACAACAGGACAAACAGAUCUGGGACCAGGCUAGCACAACAGCACAAGCAGAUCUGGGACCAGGCUAGCACAACAGCACAAACAGAUCUGGGACCAGGCUAGCACAACAGCACUAACAGGUAAGGGACCAGGCUAGCACAACAGCACUAACAGGUAAGGGACCAGGCUAGCACAACAGCACUAACAGAUCUGGGACCAGGCUAGCACAACAGCACUAACAGAUCUGGGACCAGGCUAGCACAACAGCACUAACAGGUAAGGGACCAGGCUAGCACAACAGCACUAACAGGUAAGGGACCAGGCUAGCACAACAGCACUAACAGGUAAGGGACCAGGCUAGCACAACAGCACUAACAGGUAAGGGACCAGGCUAGCACAACAGCACUAACAGGUAAGGGACCAGGCUAGCACAACAGCACUAACAGGUCUGGGACCAGGCUAGCACAACAGCACAAGCAGAUCUGGGACCAGGCUAGCACAACAGCACUAACAGAUCUGGGACCAGGCUAGCACAACAGCACUAACAGGUAAGGGACCAGGCUAGCACAACAGCACUAACAGGUAAGGGACCAGGCUAGCACAACAGCACUAACAGGUAAGGGACCAGGCUAGCACAACAGCACUAACAGGUAAGGGACCAGGCUAGCACAACAGCACAAGCAGAUCUGGGACCAGGCUAGCACAACAGCACAAACAGAUUUGGGACCAGGCUAGCACAACAGCACUAACAGGUAAGGGACCAGGCUAGCACAACAGCACUAACAGGUAAGGGACCAGGCUAGCACAACAGCACAAACAGAUCUGGGACCAGGCUAGCACAACAGCACAAACAGAUCUGGGACCAGGCUAGCACAACAGCACUAACAGGUAAGGGACCAGGCUAGCACAACAGCACAAACAGGUAAGGGACCAGGCUAGCACAACAGCACUAACAGGUAAGGGACCAGGCUAGCACAACAGCACUAACAGGUAAGGGACCAGGCUAGCACAACAGCACUAACAGGUCUGGGACCAGGCUAGCACAACAGCACUAACAGGUAAGGGACCAGGCUAGCACAACAGCACUAACAGGUCUGGGACCAGGCUAGCACAACAGCACUAACAGGUAAGGGACCAGGCUAGCACAACAGCACUAACAGGUAAGGGACCAGGCUAGCACAACAGCACAAGCAGAUCUGGGACCAGGCUAGCACAACAGCACUAACAGGUAAGGGACCAGGCUAGCACAACAGCACUAACAGGUAAGGGACCAGGCUAGCACAACAGCACUAACAGGUAAGGGACCAGGCUAGCACAACAGCACUAACAGGUAAGGGACCAGGCUAGCACAACAGCACUAACAGGUAAGGGACCAGGCUAGCACAACAGCACUAACAGGUAAGGGACCAGGCUAGCACAACAGCACUAACAGGUAAGGGACCAGGCUAGCACAACAGCACUAACAGGUAAGGGACCAGGCUAGCACAACAGCACUAACAGGUAAGGGACCAGGCUAUCACAACAGCACUAACAGGUAAGGGAAUCACAACAGCACUAACAGGUAAGGGAAUCACAACAGCACUAACAGGUAAGGGAAUCACAACAGCACUAACAGGUAAGGGAAUCACAACAGCACUAACAGGUAAGGGAAUCACAACAGCACUAACAGGUAAGGGAAUCACAACAGCACUAACAGGUAAGGGAAUCACAACAGCACUAACAGGUAAGGGAAUCACAACAGCACUAACAGGUAAGGGAAUCACAACAGCACUAACAGGUAAGGGAAUCACAACAGCACUAACAGGUAAGGGAAUCACAACAGCACUAACAGGUAAGGGAAUCACAACAGCACUAACAGGUAAGGGAAUCACAACAGCACUAACAGGUAAGGGAAUCACAACAGCACAAGGAAUAAAAAGAUAGAACACUUUACACUGAAUAGAGCCCGAUCCGGUUCUGUCUCUACUAUCGAAUGGUGAAAGCUCUCAGAUGCAAACUAAUAUUUAUAGCCAGGCCUCUCUUCCCACUGGGCACAUACAGUACAAGUACGUCAUUUCAACACCUAGUUUUGGUAACGUAAAUUCAACAAAUGUCACCAUGUCAUUGGAUUUCGGUUAAAAGUGGGGUAAUUAUUCCCUUCAAUUUAUGACUUUUUUUUGCAAAUCCAAAGCAGUUUUCCUACAUUUAUUCAACAUCAUCACACAGAUUUGUAUUUUUCUGUUUAAAGAAAACUGUCUGAAGAAAACAAACACACAUUGCAUGCUGUUUAAUGGGCUAGUAUUAUAGUGGAGCAUAAGGUGAUGAUCACAGGAUUGUAUCCCACAUGGCCACCUAUUCACUAUAUAGUGCACUACUUCUGACCAGAGCCCUAUGGA